RNAcentral lists this transfer RNA (84 nucleotides) under Planctomycetota bacterium. RNAcentral's name for it is "Planctomycetes bacterium tRNA-Leu". It matches the Rfam family "tRNA". Rfam says of the family: Transfer RNA (tRNA) molecules are approximately 80 nucleotides in length. Their secondary structure includes four short double-helical elements and three loops (D, anti-codon, and T loops). Further hydrogen bonds mediate the characteristic L-shaped molecular structure. tRNAs have two regions of fundamental functional importance: the anti-codon, which is responsible for specific mRNA codon recognition, and the 3' end, to which the tRNAs corresponding amino acid is attached (by aminoacyl-tRNA synthetases). tRNAs cope with the degeneracy of the genetic code in two manners: having more than one tRNA (with a specific anti-codon) for a particular amino acid; and 'wobble' base-pairing, i.e. permitting non-standard base-pairing at the 3rd anti-codon position. Lineage: Bacteria; Pseudomonadati; Planctomycetota. The record is from RNAcentral.
GCGCAAGUGGCGAAAUCGGCAGACGCGCUAGCUUCAGGAGCUAGUGGGGUAACACCCGUGCAGGUUCAAGUCCUGUUUUGCGCA